Molecule: long non-coding RNA, 1376 nt
Organism: Camelus dromedarius (Arabian camel)
Lineage: Eukaryota; Metazoa; Chordata; Mammalia; Artiodactyla; Camelidae
Exons: 4
Source: RefSeq, a predicted model, not a curated record
UGCUAAGCAUAUCGCCUGUGCCCUAAUAAUGACAAAAUGAUAGAUAAAUUAUAGAAUCAUUAUUUUUGUUGAGCCCAUGGGACAGAUGAGGUUGUGAGGCAGCCAAGCAGGAAGUCCCUCCGAGGAGAGAGCGGCUUCACAAACCGUCUCUGCUCUGGCAGAGCACAGGGAGCAGAGGCACCUCCUCUGUCCACCUGGAGGAAGAAAACGGCUGAGUUGUAACACAUGUGGGUGAGUGUGUGAAGCUGGAAAAGCUGAGGUAGCGGAGGAGUUCCCACUCAACUACAGACUCUGCCACAGACUUCUGCCAGGUGCUCACAGAAAUAUUGGGGGGCAGAACGAGACUGGCUUUUGCCAGCCCACCUCUGAGGUGCAAGCAGGGGGAGCCAGUCACUGGAUGCUGGGGACACAGAAUGCCAUGAACUUCCCUGGAUUUUUCUCCCUUAGGGAGCAAAAGCUCUAAGCUACUAGGGGUCAGGCAGCAAACUCAGUUGCCCACAGAGUUCAGAGGGAUCAGUGGAUGUGUGGCCCAAAGCCCUGACUGCUUCCCUGGACAGUUUUCCCUGGAUAGUAGACUACAGCCUCAAGUUUCUGGGGUAGCAGAGUCUGUCAAUCCCAGGGCAGACAGACAAGAUGCUUUGUUUAAUAGCUGCAUAAAAAGCCUUUGAUAACAUUGAACAUCCAUUUAUAAUAAAAACUCUCAGCAAACUAGAACUUCCUCAGUCUGAUAAAGGACAUCUACAAAAACCUUACAGCUAUCAUCAUGCUUAACAGUGGAAGAUUGAAUCUAUAAAUUGUGGUACGUCCCUGCAGUGGAAUAUUUCUUAUCAAUAAAGUGGAUGAACUCCUGGUACAAGCAGUGGAGUGGUUGAAUCUCAAAAGCAUUGUGCCGAACCUAGCAGAGUGGUGGAAGGAACUCUGGGUUAAAUCCCAGUAUAGUGAGAAGAGAGAAGGCUCUGGAGACAAACUUUCUAGGUUUGAGACCCCAGCUCUGCCACUUCUUGGGUGUGUCGACUUGGAAGGCAUCUCUGCCACGGUGGCAUUUGAACAGAGACUGAAGGAAUCUGUGGAAAGCAGCUGUGUAGUGAUCUGGAAGAGCAUUCCUGGCAGAGGGAGCAGCUGAUGCAAAGCCCUGAGUGUGUCAGGGGGGACACUUGGAUCAUCUUCUCUUCCAUCUUGUGAAGGAGAAACCUCUUCCACGUGUUGGCGAGGCUCUUUGGCAUCCUGCCCUAGGAGGAUAUAGCCAGGUCUGAUGAGGAAGGUAGGGAUCUACUCCUCUGGCCGGGGCUUGUGUGGGGAGAGGUGGCAGGGGUGACAGGGCUGGGCAUGUGGGCCCACAUCUCCCCUCGUGGACUUUGGGUGGAGUGAGCAGGGGU